Molecule: long non-coding RNA, 747 nt
Organism: Ailuropoda melanoleuca (giant panda)
Lineage: Eukaryota; Metazoa; Chordata; Mammalia; Carnivora; Ursidae
Exons: 4
Source: RefSeq, a predicted model, not a curated record
UCCUGCCCGCGCCAAGACUUCAAGGUACUCAAGAUAAAAACAAUAAUAUUCUUUUCAAAAAUAUUUCCAACUGUACAAUGUCUACUGGAGACUAACUGAAUCAACACACCAGACAAAAAUGGUUCCCAAAUUCUGGUUACUCUGGACACUCAGUGUUAAACUUGGUGAGGACAACAUAUUGUCAGUCUCCAGAAGGGACAUUCACCCAACAAGAAACCAGGCUAAUAAUUCAGCUGGGAAAAUUCUCACUUCCUGUAUCUGACAUGAUACUGGAUGUCCUGACCAGAGUCAUUCCAGCAGAUAGAAGGUCACCAGGCAGUGCGCAGGCCAGCCGUGGUGGUGGAGUGCAUGUCACCAAUACCCCAGAGCCAGGAGGGAAGCUAAAGGAACUAAAUCUCCUCAAAGAUGGCCAAGGCACAUGACAUGACCACUUCCUGACUUCCAUGGUGGGGAUACCAUCCUACCACCAGGAGGAGUGUCUCAAGUCCUAGAGGUAAGCCGGAUGUCCACUGUGUGAAGACCGACAGUCUGUCUCCAAGGAAGAACAGCAAACACUUUAAACAAUAGUACGACCUACCAAAAAAAGAGGCUUGUCAAUAUUUGUGUCUUGCUGACUUCAGAAAGUUAUGUCGAAAGUUUUCUUCUCUAAGUUCUAGAUCAGUUUAAAUACAUUAAAAUUUUCUGUUCCCUGGAAGUUUUAAAGAAUUCGUUAAUGAAACAUUUGAGUCCAGAGCUUCUCAGAUUAAG